Molecule: ribosomal RNA, 320 nt
Filed under: Helicobacter canis
Lineage: Bacteria; Pseudomonadati; Campylobacterota; Epsilonproteobacteria; Campylobacterales; Helicobacteraceae
Source: RNAcentral
UGUGGGUCUCUUUGAAAGCUUAGAAUCUGCUUGUCUUUUGGACGCUUUUAAGGGAGUUUGAUUUUUGCUUGUGCGACAGCCUUUAAGGCUAGUCUCCGUGCAAAAAUCUGCACAACCCUUAAAAUCGCCUCAAAAUACUUCGCAGUUUGGAAUCUAGCAAAAUGCGGAUAGCAGAAAAUUCUAAGAUUUUGAGAUGAUUUUGGUGGUUGCGUAGAAAUUUCUGCGGAGAUAAGCCUUAAGGCUAUCGCACAAAGAAAUUUCAAGCUCCGCCAAAAGCACUCAAAAGCUGAAUUUAGCAAAAGUUUUCAAAGAGGCUCACA